Molecule: long non-coding RNA, 42005 nt
Filed under: Triticum aestivum (bread wheat)
Lineage: Eukaryota; Viridiplantae; Streptophyta; Magnoliopsida; Poales; Poaceae
Description: long non-coding RNA (TAES_LNC020641)
Source: RNAcentral
UCGGAUUGGUGGUGGAUAUAUGGUUGUGGUAUAUGGCAGCGGUGGUGGUAUAUGGUAGCGGUGGUGGUAUAUGGAUACAGAUUGGUGGUGGUAUAUGGAUACGGAUUGGUGGUGGUAUAUGGAUAUGGAUUCAGAGCGGUGGCGGAUAAGCAAAAGUGGUAGAUGGGCGAUGAUGAUGGUGUGGCGGCGGCGUGACAACUUAUGACCAGAACUCGAAACUCUAAAAGACUAGACUCUAAGACCAGCAACUUGACACGACGAUGCAACCGCAAAUUCAACAAAGCAAAAACCCUAAAAAGAUUAUGCAAAGGCUCAGAUUGGUUCGGAUAUGAUGAACUAACCCUAAUUUUUUUUCUGGCUUUUUCGUGGACUGUAGGUAUGAAGAACAGACUCGAUCUAAUCUAUGAAAGACUGUAAAAUCUCACCGAGCAACCUAGAAAUCUGAUACCACUUGAUAGGGGCUAAGGUGUCCCGAUGUUUCGAUGAGAUGGUGGCUAUCGUUUUCUGUGGGAGUCGACCUUGACAAUCCGACUACGAACGUGCGAGACGUCGCGCCUUAGCAAUCGCUAAACCAACUUCCGAGGGUUAUUGACCACGCCGGAGCACGAUCAACCUGACCACGAGGGUCUGUUUCCUGCGUGAUAGAGGCAAAGGUGUCCCGUCUUUCGAUGAGAUGAUGGAUAUCGCUUUGGUGGCAGUCGACUUUGACGAUCCGACUACGAACGUGCGAGGAUGUCGCGCCUUAGCAAUCGCUAAACCAACUCCGAGAGGUUAUUGACCCCGCUGGAGCACGAUCAACCUGACCACGAGGGUCUGUUUCCUGCGAGCAAACGAAGAACAAGCAAGAAACUAAGAUUGCAAUCUGGAUAUUGCGAUUAUAAGAUGAAAGAUUUAUUGAUCAAGGUGGGGUUCUGUGACGCCUUUGUCUGGUCGUUGAACACAAACGAAGUACGCGAAGUUGCAGCUAUGGCGAACUUUUAAUCUAAACAAAACGCAAAGUCUAAACGGUGCCCUAAGGGCUGUAUAUAUGGAGGAAGAGAGGGGGAAUUUCGUGGCCCUUGGUGGAGGGGUCCGAAAUCAACCCUAUCUCUUGUUUCCCCACACAUACGGACUCUAAAAAUAGCCUAUACUUAUGUAUUUCGAAAUUACAUGGGCCUGGCCCAAUAAAAAGGUGACGCAGCACCUAUAAUAGCCUCUGGACGAAAUUUAUGAAGUGACAUCUUGUAUAUUUCGUCCAAGGUUUCAUGCACUCGUUAUGGAGGCUUCAAAGACCUGAAAUCAUCACUUGUAACUCUGUUCUUGUUCCCCUUGCGCAUGCCAUCAUCUCCAUGCUUGUUCUUGCUCCAAUGUUCAUCCUUCUCCAAGCUAGGCCCUUCAUUUGUAAGCAAAACAAAUGUAUCCAAUUUAGGCAGCAUCAUAUUCUCAUGAACAUUAGAAUCAUUACCAAGAAACGAAAGUACCUGGUAAUUUAGUUGGCGUGCGCGAGCUCUAGUAAUUGGUCCAGUAUGUAUAGCAGCAGGGUCUGUGGGUGUAACAAUGGUAUUGAUGUCCUCAUCAUCCUCCCCUUCUUGAAAUGAAGUCGUCCUCGCCGGCAGCUCAUCUUCCUCACCCAAAUAAGGCUUCAAAUCUGCAAUGUUAAAAGUGGGACUAACCCCAAAAUCUGCAGGCAGCACAAGUUUAUAUGCAUUAUCAUUUAUUUUCUCUAACACCUUAAAGGGACCAUCAGCACGUGGCAUGAGCUUUGAUUUGCGCAAAUCAGGAAAUCUAUCCUUACGCAAAUGUAACCAAACAAGAUCUCCAGGUGCAAACAUAACAUGUUUUCUACCCUUAUCUCCAGCAAGUUUAUAUUUGGCAUUCAUACGCUCAAUGUUUUCCUUAGUUAACUCAUGCAUUUUUAAAAUCAUUCAGCACGUUGUUUGGCAUCAAAAUUAACCUUCUCCGAAGAUGGAAGAGGCAACAAAUCAAUAGGUGCACGAGGUAGGAAACCAUACACAACUUCAAAAGGGCACAUCUUAGUAGUAGAAUGCAGUGAACGAUUAUAAGCAAAUUCAAUAUGAGGCAAGCAUUCCUCCCACAUUUUCUUAUUACUCUUCAAAACAGCCCUAAGCAUAGUAGACAAUGUUCUAUUGACUACUUCAGUUUGGCCAUCAGUUUGGGGGUGACAAGUAGUACUAAAAAGCAGUUUAGUCCCCAACUUAGCCCAUAAACAUCUCCAAAAGUGGCUAAGAAAUUUAGUAUCACGAUCUGAAACAAUAGUAUUUGGGACACCAUGCAAGCGAAUAAUUUCACGAAAGAACAAAUCAGCAACAUUAACAGCAUCAUCGCUUUUAUGACAUGGUUUAAAGUGUGCCAUUUUCGAGAAUCUAUCCACGACAACAAAUAUGCUAUCCCUCCCCUUCUUUGUUCGAGGUAAACCUAAAACAAAGUCCAUAGAUAUAUCCUCCCAAGGAACACUAAGUACAGGCAAAGGCAUAUAUAAACCAUGAGGAUUGAGUCGUGACUUAGCUUUUUGACAUGUAGUGCAUCGAGCAAUAAAACGCUCAACAUCCCGUCUCAUCUUUGGCCAAAAGAAAUGUGUAGCAAGUACGUCCUCCAUCUUUUUCACGCCAAAGUGUCCCAUUAAUCCUCCUCCAUGCGCCUCCUGCAACAACAAAAGACGAACGGAGCUAGCUGGAAUGCAUAGCUUGUUAGCACGAAACACAAAUCCAUUGUUAACAACAAAAUUGUUCCACAUUCGACCUUCUUUACAAUUUUGCAUUACAUCUUCAAAAUCAGCAUCAUGCACAUAUUGAUCUUUGAUGGUCUCCAAACCAAAUAUUUUGAAGUCAAGUUGUGAAAGCAUAGUAUAGCGAUGAGACAAUGCAUCAGCAAUAACAUUUUCUUUUCCCUUCUUGUGUUUAAUGACAUAAGGGAAAGUCUCAAUGAAUUCAACCCAUUUAGCAUGUCUACGAUUCAGUUUAGCUUGACUUUUAAUAUGUUUCAAAGAUUCAUGAUCAGAAUGUAUAACAAAUUCUUUGGGCCAUAAAUAAUGUUGCCAUGUUUCUAAAGUCCGAACAAGAGCAUAUAAUUCUUUAUCAUAAGUAGAAUAAUUCAGACUAGGCCCACUCAAUUUUUCAGAAAAGUAUGCAACAGGUUUGCCAUAUUGUAAUAACACACCUCCUAAUCCAAUUCCACUAGCAUCACAUUCAAGCUCAAAAGUCUUAUUAAAAUCAGGAAGUUGGAGUAAAGGAGCAUGUGUCAACCUAUCUUUCAAUCCCGAGAAGGCUUCUUCCUGUGCGGUACCCCAAAGAAAAGACACAUCUUUCUUUGUAAGCUCAUUGAGAGGUGCAGCAAUGGUGCUGAAAUCUCUCACAAAACGCCUAUAGAAUCCAGCGAGGCCAAGAAAACUCCUCACUUGUGUGACCGUUUUGGGCUGCGGCCAACUCUCAAUAGCUUCAUUCUUGGCUUUAUCAACUUCAAUUCCCUGUGGAGUAACAACAUAGCCAAGAAAAGAUACUCGGUCGGUGCAAAAGGUGCACUUCCCAAGGUUACCAAACAAACGUGCAUCACGUAGAGCAAUAAAAACAGCACGUAAAUGUUCCAAAUGUUCUUCCAAAGAUCUGCUAUAAAUCAAUAUGUCAUCAAAGUAAACUACCACAAAUCUUCCAAUGAAAGCACGUAAAACUUCGUUCAUUAAUCUCAUGAAAGUACUAGGUGCAUUAGUUAACCCAAAAGGCAUGACUAACCACUCAUAUAAUCCAAACUUAGUUUUAAAUGCUGUUUUCCAUUCAUCUCCCAAUUUCAUAUGAAUUUGAUGGUAUCCACUACGCAAAUCAACUUUGGAGAAUAUUGUAGAGCCACUCAAUUCAUCAAGCAUAUCAUCUAGCCUAGGAAUAGGAUGACGAUAACGAAUAGUAAUAUUAUUAAUGCCUCUACAAUCAACACACAUACGUGAUGUACCAUCCUUUUUCGGCACUAGAAUAAUAGGAACAGCACAAGGACUAAGGGAUUCGCAUAUAUAACCUUUGUCGAGAAGCUCUUGUACUUGACGCAUAAUCUCCUUCGUCUCCUCUGGAUUGGUACGGUAUGGUGCACGGUUUGGCAGUGAAGCACCGGGAAUUAAGUCAAUCUGAUGCUCAAUCCCUCAAAUAGGCGGUAAUCCCGGUGGCACGUCUUGUGGAAAGACGUCAGCGAACUCCUGCAAAAUGUUAGUGACAGCAGGAGGCAAAGAGGAAGGCAUGUCCUCGAAUGAAAAUAAUGCCUCUUUGCACACAAAAGCAUAGCAAACAGAUUUGCUGAAAUCUAGCUCAUCAAUAUCAGAUUUGGUGGCAAAUAAACAUGCACUUUUCAAUUUAAUUUCAGAAGCAACACUAGAUGGUUUAUUAUUAGGCUUCAUUUGUUGCUCAAAUUCUUUUUCCACAAUCUGAUUUUCACUCUUAUUCUUCUCCUGUUUUGCUUUAUUAGCUCUAUUAAUAUCAUCUUUCAAAAUGGAAUCAGGAGUCAUAGGAAGCAAAGUAAUAUUUUUAUCCUUAUGAACAAGAGUAUAGUGAUUGUUUCUACCAUGAUGUACAGAAUUUUUAUCAAAUUUCCAUGGUCUACCAAGUAAUAAGGAACAUGCUUGCAUAGGUACCACAUCACAAUCAACAUAAUCAGCAUAUGUAGAUAUACUAAAAUGCACACGAACAGUACGUGUUACCUUAACCUUGCCGCUGUUGUUGAACCAUUGGAUGUAGUAAGGAUGUGGAUGUGGUCUUGUGGUGAGAGAAAGCUUCUCCACCAUCUCCAUGCUAGCCAAGUUGUUGCAGCUCCCUCCAUCUAUGAUGACGCGCACAGAACAUUCUUUCACAACUCCCUUGGUAUGGAACAAAUUGUGCCUCUGAUUUUGCUCAGCUUGUGUGACCUGCACACUCAAAACACGUUGAGCAUAUAAACAUUCAUACCUGUCAGCGUCUUCAGGAGCCAUGUAUUGCGUCUCAUGAUCAGAAUCAUCUCCACCAUGUUCUUCACGUGUAAUAAGAGCCAAAGUCUCCUCAUCAUAGUCACCAGCGGACUCAUAUCCACCAUCCGCGGUAGCAAUCAUCACACGCGGAGAUUUGCAUUCUCUCGCAUAAUGACCUCCUCCCUUACAACGACGACAAAUAAUAUCACUUGUGUGCCCUGUUGAUGCCAUGGAAGAAGAAGAACUCUGUGCAGGCCCAGCAGGUGCGCUCUUGGCAGAUAAUGGUGGUUGUGCCUGUUUUCUUGUAUCACGACUGGAGGAGGCACGUGAUUGAGGUGCUGGUGCAGUUGAAGUAGAAGAUGCACGCGGUGUCCAUGAUGAAGGUCGGCCUGCAGAAAAGUUAGUUCGCGCCAAUGCUUGUCGAUCAUGCACUUCACGUUCAGCUUUACAAGCAAGAUGGAAUAAACGAGUGAUAUUAGUAUACUCCUUAUAGUCUAGAAUGGUCUGAAUCUCUCUAUUUAAUCCACCCAGAAAACAUGCACAUAGCUUCAUUCUCCUCAACAAUACCACAUCUAAUCAUGCCAGUUUGUAAUUCCUGAUAAUAUUCUUCUACAGAAUUUUUUCCUUGUCUUAAGCGCUGUAAUUUUUGAAGCAAUUCACGCUGAUAAUAUGGUGGAACCCAACGAGUACGCAUAGCAGUUUUCAAAGCAGCCCAAGUAGUUGGAAUAGGAGAUAAUCUACAAUGUUCAGACCACCAUACACAUGCAAAACUAGUGAAAGCACAAACAGCAGCAGCAACUCGUCUCUCCUCAGGAUAUUGUAAACAUGUAACUUGUUGUUCAGUUUCUAACUCCCAAGUAAGAUAUAUAUCAGGAACAUAUCUACCCUCAAAUGGUGGAAUAUUCAAUUUCAGUUUAGGAAUAUGGACAUCAUCUCGUACCUGAGGUGGUGGUGCAUGCCUACCAUUACGAAUAUAUACCUGAGGUCGACCUGCUGGUGGUGGUGCAGGUGGCUGCACGUAGUGCUGAUUUUGAUCAACCUCAUCCUCAUAAUCUCCCACAUAAUCAUCCUCCUCCGCAUUAGCAGCAGGAGCCACAGAACUAUCAACAGCAGCACCAACAGUUUGGCCAAACGCAAGAGGAACACGGCUCGCUCGGCGAAGGUCUGUUUCGCGACGUGGAGGUAGUCGUUGUUGUUGUUGUUGGAGAGGUGCGUUAGGUGCAGCGGGUGGUGGUGGUGGAAGACACGCGAGCAAUUCAUUAAACUUGUUAUCGAGCUUUGUUUCGAACGUCUUCUCCAUGCCAUCUAUCUUCUCCAUGGCGUCUUCAAAUCUGCUUAGCACAUCUUGCACCUGUCCACUCAUCAUUUGCUGAAAUUUAUCAUGCAAAUCCUUAUUCGUCAUGUUCUCCCAGUCAGUCUCGUCGGCUUGUGAUCCUGGCAUGGUUAGCAGCAAUAGAAACACACAAGAAUAUGAUCCUACAGACUACUAACAAGAGGUGGUGGUGGGUGUCACAAAUCCGUCAAGCAAAUCUCAAAUUCUUACCAGUUCUUACCCAGCAGCAGGCGGUGAUCGGCAACCGUUGUAGUCAAAAACUCUCAAAGCUUGGAUAGAGCGAUUACCAGGGAGAGUCAACCGCACGACGUAGAUGUAUGUGGAGCUGGGAAGGCUUAUAAUAUGGUAGCAAAAAGGGUCAGCAUUAAUCAAUUCAGAGAUGCAAAGUUGAAUAAACGCUCAACGACGGUACUGUGCUGGUCCUAGACUAGACUGUGCUAGAGACGCGAGCCUAGAACACCAACAAAAUCACGGUGCGGCACGUAAACAAGGGAAAAGCACACUCUGGAAUUUUUUUUCGCUCUUUUUUUGCGCUCUUUUUUUUUGCGCUGCUUUUUUUUUGCGAAAAAUCACUAUAAUGGCGACUGUCUCAAAACUCUUCCUAGCUCAAACUGACAGGGUGGGCACGAAAAUUUUUUGACCAAUUUUUUUUUUCGACUGCCCGGACCCAAAAACUGGAAACGGGUCAAAAAAAACUUCCUAUAAUGGCACCUGUCUCAAAACACUCAGAAACACCUAAAAAUAGGAUAGCCAGAAUUUUUUUUGAAAAAUGCGUUUUAGAAAAAUUUUGGGCCUAAAUGGAGCGUGGUUUCCGGAACCUACUCCGGCAAGGAAACACGAAUCGGAAUCUAGAUGGAUCUCGAAAACAAACCUAAUAUGACAAGAACUCGGAUUGGUGGUGGAUAUAUGGUGGUAGAUGGCAGCGGUGGUGGUAUAUGACAGCUGUGGUGGUAUAUGGAUACGGAUUCGAAGCGGUGGCGGAUAAGCGGUGGUGGUAGAUGGCAGGGGUGAUGAUGAUGGUGCGGCGGCGGCGUGACAACUUAUGACCAGAACUCGAAACUCUAAAAGACUAGAUUCUAAGACCAGCAACUAGACACGACGAUGCAACCGCAAAUUCAACAAAGCAAAACCCUAAAAAGAUUAUGCAAAGGCUCAGAUUGGUUCGGAUAUGAUGAACUAACCCUAAUUUUUUUGUGGCUUUUUCGUGGACUAUAGGUAUGAAGAACAGACUCGAUCUAAACUACGAAAAACUGUAAAAUCUCACCGCGCAACCUGGAAAUCUGAUACCACUUGAUAGAGGCAAAGAUGUCCCGUCUUUCGAUGAGAUGAUGGAUAUCGCUUUGGUGGCAGUCGACUUUGACGAUCCGACUACGAACGUGCGAGGACGUCGCGCCUUAGCAACCGCUAAACCAACUCCGAGAGGUUAUUGACCACGCCGGAGCACGAUCAACCUGACCACGAGGGUCUGUUUCCUGCGAGCAAACGAAGAACAAGCAAGAAACUAAGAUUGCAAUCUGGAUAUUGCGAUUAUAAGAUGAAAGAUUUAUUGAUCAAGGUGGGGUUCUAUGACGCCUUUGUCUGGUCGUUGAACACAAACGAAGUACACAAAGUUGCAGCUAUGGCGAACUUUUAAUCUAAACAAAACCCAAAGUCUAAACGGUGCCCUAAGGGCUGUAUAUAUGGAGGAAGAGAGGGGGAAUUUCGUGGCCCUUGGUGGAGGGGUCCGAAAUCAACCCUAUCUCUUGUUUCCCCACACAUACGGACUCUAAAAAUAGCCUAUACUUAUGUAUUUCGAAAUUACAUGGGCCUGGCCCAAUAAAAAGGUGAUGCAGCACCUAUAAUAGCCUCUGGACGAAAUUUAUGAAGUAACAUCUUGUAUAUUUCGUCCAAGGCUUCAUGCACUCGUUAUGGAGGCUUCAAAGACCUGAAAUCAUCACUUGUAACUCUGUUCUUGUUCCCCUUGCGCAUGCCAUCAUCUCCAUGCUUGUUCUUGCUCCAAUGUUCAUCCUUCUCCAAGCUAGGCCCUUCAUUUGCAAGCAAAACAAAUGUAUCCAAUUUAGGCAGCAUCAUAUUCUCAUGAACAUUAGAAUCAUUACCAAGAAACGAAAGUACCUGGUAAUUUAGUUGGCGUGCGCGAGCUCUAGUAAUUGGUCCAGUAUGUAUAGCAGCAGGGGCUGUGGGUGUAACAAUGGUAUUGAUGUCCUCAUCACUGCGAGCAAACGAAGAACAAGCAAGAAACUGAGAUUGCAAUCGGGAUAUUGCGAAUAUAAGAUGAAAGCUUUAUUGAUCAAGGUGGGGUUCUGUGACGUCUUGGUCUGGUCGUUGGACACAAACGAAGUACGCGAAGUUGCAGCUAUGGCGAACUUUUAAUCUAAACAAAACCCAAAGUCUAAACGACGCCCUAAGGGCUGUAUAUAUGGAGGAAGAGGGGGGAAUUUCGUGGCCCUUGAGGGUGGGGUCCGAAACCAACCCUAACUCUUGUUUCCCCACACAUACGGACUCUAAAAAUAGCCUAUACUUAAGUAUUUCGAAAUUACAUGGGCCUGGCCCAUUAAUAAGGUGACGCAGCACCUAGAAUAGCCUAUGGACGAAUAUUAUGAAGUGGCAUCUUGUAUAUUUCGUCCAAGGCUUCAUGCACUCCUUAUGGCGGCUUCAAACUCCUGAAAUCAUCACUUGUAACUCCGUUCUUGAUCCCCUUGCGCAUGCCAUCAACUCCAUGCGUGUUCUUGCUCCAAUGUUCAUCCUUCUCCAAGCUAGGCCCUUCAUUUGUAAGCAAAACAAAUGUAUCCAAUUUAGGCAGCAUCAUAAUCUCAUGAACAUUAGAAUCAUUACCAAGAAACGAAAGUACCUGGUAAUUUAAUUGGCGUGCGCGAGCUCUAGUAAUUGGUCCAGUAUAUGUAACAGUAGGGGCUGUGGGUGUAACAAUGGUAUUGAUGUCCUCAUCACCUGAUCAACCCGAUAACGCUUAUUCUUCUCUCUAUUGCUUGCAUUAGAGUAGUGUACCAUGUUACUGCUUUCCGUUAAGCAUAUUCUGAUGAAUAGCCUACCUUUGCUACUACUGUUGUUACCUUUACCCGCAAUCCUAAUUGCUUAGUAUAGGAUGCUAGUUUAUCAUCAGUGGCCCUACAUUCUUGUCCGUCUGCCAUGCUGUACUAUCGGGGCGUGAUCACUCAGGAGGUGAUCACUAGUAUAUACUUAUAUACAUAACAUAUGAUACUUGUGAUGACUAAAGUAGGGUCGGCUCGUAGAGUAGCCGCGAGUGAUUCACGGAUUGGGGGCUCGAAGGACAUUUGUCCCGACGGCCCUCUGGGUGGAUCUUUGUGGCGGAGCGACAGGGCAGGUUGAGACCACCUAGGUGAGAGGUGGGCCUGGCCCUAGUCGGCGUCCGCGGUUACUUCAAAAUAACACGCUUAACGAGAUCUUGGUAUUUGAUCUCGUGACGUCAGCGACUGAGCGGCGCGCACCGGGUUGGACCGCGUAACGCAACUUCCUUUAAAAUGGAGGUUGCUAGGUCUACUCACCGGCCGCCCUCGCAACGUCCAGGUGUGCAAUGGGCGAUGGGCCUAGACCCCUGCGCCAUAGGUUUUAGACCGGCGUGCUGACCUCUCUAUUGUGCCUAGGUGGGGCUGCGAUGUGUUGAUCUUCCGAGGCCGGGCAUGACCCAGGAAAGUGUGUCCGGCCAAAGGGGAUCGAGCGUGUUGGGUUAUGUGGUGCACCCCUGCAGGGAUGUUUAUCUAUUUGAAUAGCCGUGUCCCUCGGUAAAAGGACGACCCGGAGUUGUACCUUGACGUUAUGACAACUAGAAUCAGAUACUUAAUAAAACACACCCUUGCAAGUGCCAGAUACAACCCGGUGAUCGCUCUCUAACAAGGCGACGAGGAGAGGAUCGUCGGGUAGGAUUAUGCUAUGCGAUGAUACUUGGUGAACUUACCAUCUACUCUCUUCUACAUGCUGCAAGAUGGAGGCUGGCAGAAGUGUAGUCUUUGAUAGGACUAGCUAUCCCCCUCUUAUUCUAGCAUUCUGAAGUUCAGUCCACCGAUAUUACCCCUUUACACUAAUACCCAUGCAUAUGUAGUGUAGAUCCUUGCUUGCGAGUACUUUGGAUGAGUACUCAUGGUUGCUUUGCUUCCCCCUUUUCCCCUUUCUAUACAUGGUGGUCACAACCAGAUGCUGGAGCCCAGGAGUCAGACGCCACCGUCGACGACGACUCCUACUACACUGGACGUGCCUACUACUACAUGCAGGUCGCUGACGACCGGGAGUAGUUUAGGAGGAUCCCAGGCAGGAGGCCAGCGCCUCUUUCAAUCUGUAUCCCAGUUUGUGCUAGCCAUCUUAUGGCAACUUGUUUAACUUAUGUCUGUACUCAGAUAUUGUUGCUUCCGCUGACUCGUUUAUAAUCGAGCUCUUGUAUUCGAGCCCUCGAGGCCCCUGGCUUGUAAUAUGAUGCUUGUAUGCCUUAUUUUAUUUUUAGAGUUGUGUUGUGAUAUCUUCCAGUGAGUCCCGGAUCUUGAUCGUACACGUUUGCAUGCAUGAUUAGUGUACGAUUGAAUUGGGGGCGUCACACCAUUGCCCCCAUUGACCGGGGGGAAAGACCAUUUGUUUUGGGGCAGCUGAUAGCGGCGGGGGUGCGGGGCGUUGGCUGUUUGUUGCUGCUACAGGCAGGGAGGAGAGGGGGAGCGGUCCUGGCGACAAGGAGGAGUAGAUGGCGAGUGGCGCCGGGAGGAGCGCCACGGCUCGUCCGAUGGAGACCGUAGCCGGUCCCGGAGCUCGUCCCUCAGGGAAGCGCGCCGGCCAGGCGAGCGGCGGGGCUCCCCCCGGGGCGACGGAGGGUUCGCACGCGCCGGCGAGCGGCGGGACUCGCGGGGAGGAGGGAAGCGAUAGGACUCCCUGGUCGAUAGUUGCCGGCGUAGAUCGGCUUCGCGCUAGAGGCCCUCAAGGGAGGAGCGGGGAGGAUCGCGGAGGACCCAUAACCCACAGUUCCACAGGAUCCAAACCUGACUCUCCUGUACACCCCCUGUUUCCAUAGUAUUCCUCGCGCGUGGCCUCAUAUGUAAUUCACGAGCCACCUCUCAAGAGAUCAUUAAGCCUGCUAUCAGAUACAAUACUUAUUCUCAUUGCUUUGAGCCCCUUUCACGCCCUGUUUCAGGCAUUGAACGCUUGCCUGGCCACUCGAAACUUCCCAUGAUACCUCCUUACUUUCCUCUCGAUAUUUUCGUAAGUUUCCAUUCGAGAGUUACUUUCCGCCACCUUCCCCAAUGUUAUCUACCAGAUAUUCAAGCUUGCCGAGGUUCGUUCUCCCGGAAUGCUCCCCCUUUAUUCUUUCGUAAGCACGAUGAAGACCCCAAAGAAAGAACAACAACUUCAUCUUGAUGCAUUGAUGCAUAGGAAUGAAGACAUCGAGGCAAUUGGUCAACCUCUUCGAGAAUAGCAAUCAAGAACGAGAAGAUUCAUUGCAAUUUCAUAACCAGACCCUUUCCCCCUUGUUCCACCUCUUAAAUCUCGGGACGAGAUUUCUUAUAGUGGAGGAGAAUGGUGACGCCCGGAUAAUUAAGCUACAGUGAACCUAUGUUAAUGAUGCCACGUCACCUCGGUUACUAAUGAUAAUAUCGCGUUAGUUGAAAACGAUUCAAUUUCAAAUUUGAAUUAAAGUCAAAUGAGAAAUGUUUUCAAAAAUUAAAACUACAAUGUUAUGGAUGUGACGAAUAAUUCAUAAGUAAUAUUGGUGGAGCCACCAAGUCUUUAUAAAAUGUAUAAAUGCACUAAACUAAAUAAAAUAGUAAAAAAACAUUUAUUUAAAUGAUUUUAAAAUAAUAAACAGUUACAAACUAUUUUGUUUUAGGUGCAAAGCUAAUUCUGGUAGGGGCAUAAUUAUUAAUGCUCUUUUAGGUACAACUUUGUAUUUUAUAAAAGCUAAAAUUUAAUAAAAUAGAAUAGAACAUUAAACAAAAAGAAAGAAAAAACAGUAAAGAAAAAAAGGAUUGAAAAGGCCCUCCAAUGGGUCGAAUGGGGCCCGCUCGUGUAUUAAAUGAAAAUGAAAAACAAAUAAAUAAUAAUAAUAAUUAACUUAAUUAAUUAACUAAACUAAUUAACUUAACUAACUAACCUAAUUAAGCUAUUAAUUAAACUAAUUAACCAUUAACAGACAAUGACGAGUGGGACCCACAUGUCAGUUUGACCGGUCAACGGUCAGAGUUGACCGAUGAUAUCAUGCUGACAUCAUUUUUGUAUUUUCUAAUUUAAUUAAUUCUGUUAAUCCUAAAAAUGAUUUAAAUCUUUAUAAAUUAAUAUAAAAUAAUCCGUAACUCGGAUGAAAAUACUUUGUACAUGAAAGUUCUCAGAACGACGAGACGAAUCCAGAUACGUAGCCCGUUCGUCCGCCACACAUCCCUAGCAUAGCGAACAUGCAAUUCUCCCCCUCCGUUCAUCUAUCCGAAAACGUGAAACACCGGGGAUACUUUUCCCGAAUGUUUCCCCCCUUCACCGUUAUCACCUCCUACUGCAUUAGGGCACACCUGGCACCGUUACUUGUCAUGUCAUGCAUCAAUAUGCAUCUAUUUGCAUUGUAUUCAUUGCUUCUUCCCCCUCUUCUCUUUGGUAGACUACGAUGCUGACGCCACUGCUAGUGCCCCGAUUGAGUACGUUGUUGACGACCCCUCCUUCUCGCCAGAGCAACCAGGCAAGCCCCCCCUGAUCAACCCGAUAUCACCUAUUCUUCUCUCUAUUGCUUGCAUUAGAGUAGUGUACCAUGUUACUGCUUUCGGUUAAUCAUAUUCUGAUGAAUAGCCUAUCUUUGCUACUACUGUUGUUACCUUUACCCGCAAUCCUAAUUGCUUAGUAUAGGAUGCUAGUUUAUCAUCAGUGGCCCUACAUUCUUGUCCGUCUGCCAUGCUAUACUAUCGGGGCGUGAUCACUCAGGAGGUGAUCACUAGUAUAUACUUAUAUACAUAACAUAUGAUACUUGUGAUGACUAAAGUAGGGUCGGCUCGUAGAGUACCCGCGAGUGAUUCACGGAUUGGGGGCUCGAAGGACAUUUGUCCCGACGGCCCUCUGGGUGGAUCUUUGUGGCGGAGCGACAGGGCAGGUUGAGACCACCUAGGUGAGAGGUGGGCCUGGCCCUAGUCGGCGUCCGCGGUUACUUCAAAAUAACACGCUUAACGAGAUCUUGGUAUUUGAUCUCAUGACGUCAGCGACUGAGCGGCGCGCACCGGGUUGGACCGCGUAAUGCAACUUCCUUUAAAAUGGAGGUUGCUAGGUCUGCUCACUGGCCGCCUUCACAACAUGCAGGUGUGCAAUGGGCGAUGGGUCCAGACCCCUGCGCCAUAGGUUUUAGACUGGCGUGCUGACCUCUCUAUUAUGCCUAGGUGGGGCUGCGAUGUGUUGAUCUUCCGAGGCCGGGCAUGACCCUGGAAAGUGUGUCCGGGCAAAGGGGAUCGAGCGUGUUGGGUUAUGUGGUGCACCCCUGCAGGGAAGUUUAUCUAUUUAAAUAGCCGUGUCCCUCGGUAAAAGGACGACCCGGAGUUGUACCUUGACCUUAUGACAACCAGAAUCAGAUACUUAAUAAAACACACCUUUUCAAGUGCCAGAUACAACCCGGUGAUCGCUCUCUAACAAGGCGACGAGGAGAGGAUCGUCGGGUAGGAUUAUGCUAUGCGAUGAUAGAACUUACCAUCUACUCUCUUCUACAUGCUGCAAGAUGGAGGCUGCCAGAAGUGUAGUCUUCGAUAGGACUAGCUAUCCCCCUCUUAUUCUAGCAUUCUGAAGUUCAGUCCACCGAUAUUGCCCCUUUACACUAAUACCCAUGCAUAUGUAGUGUAGAUCCUUGCAUGCAAGUACUUUGGAUAAGUACUCACGGUUGCUUUGCUUCCCCUUUUCCCCUUUCUAUACAUGGUGGUCACUACCAGAUGCUGGAGCCCAGGAGUCAGACGCCACCGUCGACGACGACUCCUACUACACUAGACGUGCCUACUACUACAUGCAGGUCGCUGACGACGACCAGGAGUAGUUUAGGAGGAUCCCAGGCAGGAGGCCAGCGCCUCUUUCAAUCUGUAUCCCAGUUUGUGCUAGCCAUCUUAUGGCAACUUGUUUAACUUAUGUCUGUACUCAGAUAUUGUUGCUUCCGCUGACUCGUCUAUAAUCGAGCUCUUGUAUUCGAGCCCUCGAGGCCCCUGGCUUGUAAUAUGAUGCUUGUAUGCCUUAUUUUAUUUAUGAGUUGUGUUGUGAUAUCUUCCAGUGAGUCCCGGAUCUUGAUCGUACACAUUUGCAUGCAUGAUUAGUGUACGAUUGAAUUGGGGGCGUCACACCAUUGCCCCCAUUGACCGGGGGGAAAGACCAUUUGUUUUGGGGCAGCUGAUAGCGGCGGGGGUGCGGGGCGUUGGCUGUUUGUUGCUGCUGCAGGCAGGGAGGAGAGGGGGAGCGGUCCUGGUGACAAGGAGGAGUAGAUGGCGAGUGGCGCCGGGAGGAGCGCCACGGCUCGUCCGAUGGAGACCGCAGCCGGUCCCGGAGCUCGUCCCUCAGGGAAGCGCGUCGGCCAGGCGAGCGGCGGGGCUCCCCCCGGGGCGACUGACGGUUCGCACGCGCCGGCGAGUGGCGGGACUCGCGGGGAGGAGGGGAGCGAUAGGACUCCCUGGUCGAUAGUUGCCGGCGUAGAUCGGCUUCGCGCUAGAGGCCCUCGAGGGAGGAGCGGGGAGGAGCGGGGAGGAUCGUAGAGGUCCUCCUGGUAACUCUUGGGGCGGCGGACCGCGUCACCCCACACACGGGUCAUGGCCGGGAGGGGCGACAGAGGGGGCGGCGGGGGGGAGGGGGGCAGAGCGGCACGACGGCUUAGGGGCAGCGCUAGGUUAUCUGAAAAGGGAGAGGAGGGGACUGGGGCGGGGUGAACAGUGGCUGGAUCGGGAACCCUUCAGGGGCCAAAUCGAGCGGCCAAUUGGGCCCGCAGCCAUGUUGGACCGCAGCAGCCCAACUGCCCAGCGACCCACCGCGAGCCCCAUGGGCAGGCCAAAAGGGGCACCAGGCCCAACGCGGGUCGGCCCAAGUCCACCACCCAGGCAGGCGGGUAGCAAGGGUUUCCUUGAGCGCCGCCGGCGAUGGGGAUGGAUGGGAAGGAGCAGGCCUGGCCGGACGGUGGGGAGUAUUCGAGGGCCGGGGACGGGAGGAACCGAAGGAGGCGAUGAAAGGGCGGAAUGGGAAGCGGCACGAGAGCACCAAAGCCAGCGCGGGCCACACCAGUGGCGGAGCCCAGAGGGAGCCAGGGGAAGCGAGGGUCGGAGCCCGCCACGAGAUGCGCGCAGCGCCACGGUCAGCACGGCCCACAACUCCCAUCUGGUGGAGCGGCAACGACGGCGGCGUCCCCCCGACCUCAAGGCGGCGCCUUGUCUCCCGGCAUCCGAGGAGCACUCAGCGGCCGGUGUCGGGGCUGGGCAGCCACGUGGGUAGUCGAACUCCCACCCUUGGGAGUAAGGCCGUCGGCGCCGGCCGACCGCGGCACGCGAGUAGGAGCACGGGGACCCAGUCACAGCAGACCAUCGGACGCCUGGCUUCGAGGUCAUCCGCCUCGGCGAUGUCGGCCGACACCACCCGCACAGGGCCCAGGGAGGACGGAGCAUGCAGCAGGGAGGGGGGCGGGGAGGCCGCGGAGGGGGAUGAGGCGGACGAAGCCGCCGGUGGUGGGGGGGUUGCAGGGGUGGCUGGGAGGCCACCGCGUCGAGCGCGUCGCACAGGGCGCCAGAGCCGCAAGCCAUCCACUUUCCUUUCGCCAAGAUGCUAAUUUUUCAUCGAAUAGUGUCUUCAUAGCACAUUUUCCCUGUAACCUUGCUGGUAAAUUUCAUGGGAACCUAUUGCGUACCAAUUUAGAACUGUCAAUAUGACCCUAAUUUAAAGAAUCACUGCAUGUAAAAAAUACAAUGAAAGUGCAGAAACUUUGAAAAUGGCAGAAUGAACAGAAUACCAACCUCCGAGAAAACUCUAUCCACAGUCCAAUAUGUUAACGCAUGGUUUCCAUACUUAAUACAGAUUUUUUUUAUCAAUAAAUAAAGUGUGGCCCUAUCUAUAGUUCUUAGAACCUACAGUAUAUCUCAUAGAAAAAUGAGAAAUGUUAUCUGUCUCACAAGUUGCAGAGGAAAUAAUUUUUUCGUACAAAGAAACAGAAGCAUAGUGAAUCAAGCAGAUUCCACGCUUCAGCUCCAUCAAAUAGAGAAGGCUGCUUCCAAUUCGAUGCCACUGAUAUUAUGUAUAGCAUGCUUCACUUACAUGCAAGAACGCAAGUACAGCAGAAUCUCUAUGAUAUCUAAUAAAAUGAAAUUGCAACAUACGCAUAUAUUCAUUAUAGUUAGUUUACUACUAACCACUACAACAGAGGGAAAAUGUCAAUAGCUAAACCCAAAAGGAAACAACAAAAAUGAAUAACCCAAUUGGCACGCAACUGGGCAACAUGGGUAGAUCCUUAUCUAGCUUGUGCAUCAUCUGCCAAAGGAAGCUAAAAUAGAUAAAUAAUGGGUUGACAGACCUAAAAGGAAACCUAAAAUAUCUCUAUUUCAUAAGUGGCAAGAUUCUUGAUACAGAGGACCCAUGGCGACAACCAUAGGUCAACCGGAAGAGCGAGGUCAGGAGUGAAAACUACACAUUUAUCUCAUUGUCUAUAUAAGGUACCGUUUUGCCUAGCCUCAAUUUGAACUCCACCCAAAAAAAUCUUAAGCACCUAAAAAUAUUCAUCUCCUAUGGGUUAUACAACAAACAUGUAGAAAAAACGUUGGCAUAUUUAUGCAUCCACGAAAUUAUUGAUCUUCCAGUGAAAGUGAUAAUGGAUAAUAGUAACAAGAUGACAUUAGCAGCAUAGGUCAAUUACUGAAAUGCCAAAGCCAAAUAGCUUUUGAGGUUUCUCGCACAAUACACCUUUUAGGUCUAUAAAUUGUGAAGUGGUUUUAAAAUAUUAUCAGAGAGAAGCCUGGCAUGGCAGAGAAGGCUACAGAUAAUCAAGAACCUGUGAACUGAUAGUUAAUUCAUAAUAAAGUGUUCCACAUGAACUUUAGACAGCAAAAUUUAGUUUUUGAAAAUAAGAAGCAAUUUGACCUUUACUAGGCUAAACAUAAAAGAAAGAACGUGAUAGUAUUUAAAUGGCGAUUGAGAUGGUAAGCUACAUACGGUUUUUGAUAGCUCGAUGUCCAUCUCCAUGGUACGCAAGCAUGGAGGAAUUAUUUCAGUUUGCAGCAGAAAGCCGAUAACUUCAAUAUCACCAACCUCCAUGCAUAAUAAGAAGGUCAAAAGGCUUCUUCCAAAAGCAAGAAGAAAACAUUUGGUAUUUGGAAACACAUGCAGCUUAUUCCGAAAGCAAGAAGAAAAGAUUUGAUAGAAAAAUAUUUGUUUAUAAGGCAACAGUAGUUCAACCAACAUCCAACCACAUAGUAUGCAAUAGAAAGAUGAUUGUCAACGGAAGGCAGGUUAAGCACAACUAUAUUUGAUGGACCGAAAGGCACACACGAACAGUGAAACUAAGAAGUUGGUUGUUAAUGUAUGAUGCAGGACCUUGUGAGUAUUGUUCAUAUAUAACCCUAUUCGAUUAUUCCAUUUGAUUUGAUGAUAAGAAGUGCACAUCAAGUCGUCUCUUUCUUUUCUCACAAAGCAAUUGACACCAGGAUAAUCUUCAGUAAGGAGAGCACACAACAAUCAAUGUUUUUUGUUGGGCUUCACUGCAACUAGAAGCAAAAUUCGUGCUUUGUCGCGGCCAAUCCAUUAUUGCGACAAAGAAAACAGAGAUUUAUUUCUUCUGGUUCUUCUUAGCAAAGAAGGGACUACAAAUAAUUCGGCCCAUUAGCGACAAAAACAAGAAACACAACCUGGCCACAAAAUAUGAAGAGUCAACAUCUUACAAUGACAUCAUAAAGAUGAACUAAAAUAUAGGCACAAGAAAAGUAGCCGGCAUAAGAGGGCGAACACAAAUAGAAUGGAAGUGAGGGAAAAGAAAAAUAGAAAAGAGAACCAAGGAUUCAAGCGAUGGAAACUAUGUGACAUAAUAGACAUAUACAUGCAGUGUCAGUAAUUAAAGUUGAACAACCAUGAGACUCAAUGGAGUAGUAAAUCGGAUAGGCCUUAACAUUGGGAUGCAGUUUACUUCAAGAUGACUGUAGAAUAAGAAAGCAAUGCUCUGUUCUCUCAAACUUUGUGGUAUAAAUGUCUUCAUUAAAAGUACUCUUAAUUCCAAACAGAGUUACAUUUGUUUCAAACUGGCCCGAGCUCCUUCAAUAUUAUGGAUUAAUUAUUAGUCAAUAGCAUACUAAGUGAACACAUGAAUGCAGUCAGAAUUGUUGGUUUCACAAUAACAGAAUGAACUCACAUAUUAUAAAUAAUAUAUAAUUCCUAUAUCCACUUAUCCAUUGCUUGGCUCAAUAGUUCCUAGCAUAUUUAGGUACUUAUGAAACCACAAGUAUGUGUUCCUGGGCUGUCAAGUAAACAUGGUUGCUUAUUUCAGAAUUCCAUCAUAGCCACAUAAGAUGACACAAUGUUGCAACAAUCUCAAAGCUAAAACAAAACAUAGAUCAAGUACCUAGCUAUCACCAUAUUAUCCCUAAAUUCACAUCAAGAACAACCCGAAAGGCAAGACACUUUCAACAUACACCAGAUGGUUUAAGAAUUUUCCAUGAAUCAUCUUGUCGAUGUAGUGGCUUUAGCGAAAGAGCUCUGCCAAUGGGUUGUAGACCACAUAUGUUACAGAAGUGGAUCAGAAGCAUGUCAAUUUGGCAAUAUGUCACCUACACAACAUGAACAGAUGACAAUGAGACACUUGGCACCAAAAUUAGACAAAUGAAUAGCUAGAAUGUGCCUCUUCUAUAAUUGUUGCAAUCCACAGACUAUGCUAAAUGGAAAUAGUUGAAAUGUCUGUUGUUGUAAUUGUUGGCACAAAAAUUGGGCAAAAGUAUCACUACUCAUUGUAUAACUCUCUUUCUUAUUUUUUUUUACUUACUAUGGUAUGAUUUUCUUCAAGUGAAUAAUAUGGGCAAAGCAAUAUACAGAUAAAUAAUAGCUGACAGGUAUAUCAUAAGUGUACUACUCCCUCCGAUCCAAAAUAUGUGUCACAGUUUUGAACUAAGUUUAAUUCAACCUUAGUUCAACAUAUUAUGGAUCGGAGGGAGUAUCAUUUACCGCUCAUUAUGGAGAUUAAGUUGCAACAAAAGAAAAAAUGAAAUAAAGUAUUGUUGAGAAAAAAUAGAUCUAGUGAAAAAACAAAAAAACAUAAGUAACACUAAGGUGGCUUCCAUAGAACAAGGAAAACAGAGAAUUUACCAUUUAUGGCCAAAGAGGAAAAGCUAAGGGUAAGGGGGAGCACAUGCAACUGGAACACUGAUGGGAAGAAACAAUUGAUACAUUAUUGUUGCCUAUUGGCAAAGAAAUAAUGGGGCAACAACAUCCGAUCCCGCCAGAGCCACACCUGUGAAACACAACAAAGAGGAAGACUAUCGAAAUAUGUCCUUUAAAAGUGUUUCUUGGCCUAAGUGCAUCAUGUACAUGCUAUAAAAUCUGUUCUUAGUGUUUCCUUGUAUAAGAUAAAGGUGUGACCAUCAGUCUGGACGCUAAAAGAAGAGCAGUAGUUUGAAAGUAUGAGAGAAAUAUUGGUGCUUUUUGUUGGGUAUUAUUAUUUCUGGUAGGUACUAAUAACCACAUUUAGUUUAACAAAAAAUUAGGCAGCCCAAAAAUGGUGUAGACACGGAAAGAUAAAUUCGAGAGCAAGAAGGUUGACAAUGUUUAGCAUUUUUUUGUAAAUGAGGAAAACAUAAGUAUUUCUGCUUACCAAUUAAAUGUCCACAACAACACUUUCUAUCUGUUCAUACAAUUUCUAAUUUAUUUUCUUACUCCCGGGAAAUUUCUUGGCAAUAUACAUUAUUAGAGGGAUAAAAACUGCAUUAAUAACCUAUUCACUACAUGCUUGCUGCUGGCACAAAUUACACUAAUAGAAUAAAGAGCCUAACCAUAUAACAGGAUUAGGCCUAACAAAAAAAAGGACGGGCUGAUGAUUGGGAAAAAGCUGCACAAAAUCAUGAUCACAUAUACAUAUGAGAUAUGAGAGUACACAUACUAACCUUAACCUAAUUAGUGGCCAUCACAAACUAUGAGCUUUAGGAUUCCCCAAACCAACACACCAGAACAAAUAUUCAAUCUUUGGACUGACAUCAUCUGAACCAAAUUAGGAGGAAAAAUCCAUCACCAAAAUAGUCUGAAUCUAGUGGUAGAUUGAGGAUUGGGGGUAGCAUCAAUAUGGAGUCCUAUUGGGUGGAGCCCCAGCACCCAACGUCCUCCCCGACAACAAUGACAACAACAGGAAGAUAACUAAGAGAGAUGAAGCAAACAAGAAUAGAGAAGAAGCACAACAGAACGGAGAAGCGGCGGUGCAGCCGCCGUACUCAUCAGUGGCGUCCAUAUCCCUACUCGGGCUCCUCCUGCUCCACGCAUAGUCGUCACCGCAGCAGGAUUGAGGAGCUCUUCCCACGCGCUUUCACCCCACAGCGCAACCAUGAAGAGUUGGCAAAGCGAAGAUGGUGGUCAUUCCAGCCAUAGCGAGGCUGGGUACCAUCGGAUUUAUGCCUGGGGACGGUGUGGAGGCGUUGAAUCAAUCAUGGUAAGAACUUAGCAGUACCUUUGAACUUUCUCGUCAAUCCAAAACAACUUCUAUCUACAACAAACCGAAGGUGACAGAGAGCGAUGUGGGAGCUAAAAUACAUGAGCAUGAACAAAAAGUAUCAAUGCAUUAGCAAGUGCAAGAAGUGAAAUUUCACAUUAAUAUAUACGCAGCUCACUAUGCUUGGAAGAAAUCUGCAACAAAUCGAAGGAGACAGAGAGAGAUGUGGGAGCUACAAUACAUGAGCAUGAACAAAAAAUAUGCAUUAGCAAGUUCAAGAAGUGAAAUUUCACAUUAAUAUAUAAGCAACUCACUAUGCUUGGAAGAAAUCUGCAACGAGGGAGAGAGAUGUGGGAGCUAUAAUACAUGAGCAUGAACAAGAAUAUAUCAAUGCUUUAGCAACUGGAAAAGUGAAAAUUGACAUCGAUAUAUAAGAAGCAACAUUAUAUCUAUUAUCUAUUAUGUAUAAGCAGGAGCAGUAGCAUGCACACACAACCCGAAACCGCAUCAUCUCAAAUAGCUACAGAACUAAUUAGGCAGAACAAAAGAGAGUCUGUGUAGUCUCCACCCACGGUACCAGCACUACACAGAUUGUGUGUUCCCUCUGCUAGCACUCCUACUACCACUGCAUGUCUUCCUAGUCUUGCUGCUCGCAGGAGGACCAGGAAGGGUCAAGUGGAGUGGUGCAGCAAGACGACGCUGCCAAGAACACCAUGUGGUGCACGAGGCAUUAUGCUAGUCAUGGUAGAGCACGUGGAGUAACCAGUGUCAUUUGUGAACAAAACCAUGAUUAUGAAACAUGAUGAUAAGCACCUACAACUAAAUCGACAUUCUUACGAUAGCAAUACCUUCAAAAGGUUACCAGGAAGAGAAGUUACGAAAAACACCCUGACAAAUUGAACUUAGUUUCAUUCAAAUGGUCUUUACGUUUUUUUGACAUGGCCUGUAAGAGCUACAAAAUGUCUAAGAAAAAUAAAACAUUUCAUGAGUAUUGUACAGUCUACAUCCCGCUUACAUGGAUUUAAAAAGAUACAAAAACUUGCAGUUUAGAAUGACAUCAUGCCUCAAUUGAUAAAUAAUAAUACAACAAUCAGAAUAUAUAAAAAAUUGACUGCUCAAUUACUUUGGAUGACCCAAACCCUUAAAGAUUAUGGGAUAUAUGUGAAACAUGUUCCAUGGCUAUGUGACAAUGAAAGUGCUAUUAAAAUUGCUCACAAUCCCGUGCAACACUCUUGAACUAAGCAUAUUGAAGUUCAUCAUCAUUUCAUUUGAGAUCAUGUUGCCAAAGGGGACAUUAACCUUAAGCAUGUUCGCACCGAUAAGCCAUUGGCGGAUAUAUUCACUAAACCACUUGAUUUGAAAGUGUUUUGCAGGUUAAGAGGUGAAUUGAACAUCAUUGAUGCUUCAAACUUGGAGUAGGAACUCCAUUUGAUACAUGCGAGGCAUGAGCCUAUGACUAAUCCUUGAUAUUUUUCUGAUGAUGAUUCUCAUAUGUCUUGGAUAUAUUUGUACCUUGCAUGUUAUCUAACCCGUGUAGGUACUUGGUUGAAUCUAAAUCUAUGAGAUUGCAACUCACUCACAUCUUGAGCAAUCUCUACAUCACCAAGACUCUAUACAAUGGUGGUUGAAGACAAGGAAGCAUGAAACCAUUCAAACAUAUCCUUUGACAAAUUCUAUGCUGAGUCUCAUGCUAGUCAUUUUGGAUACACAAGUGCUCUUCCUUGCAAGACUAACCCAUGUAGGUAGAUGAACUCAAACUCCAAGUGGUGCUCCCAACUACAUCAACCUUGAGCAACCCAUACAAGUUCAACUACAUGAGCAAGAUCAACACCACCACCCAAGGUAUGUUAUUCCAUCUUAGAGAAGCUUUACUCCAAGUCAUGAGUCAAAACAACUCAACAAGAUGUGAAUACAUCAAGAUUCUUAAACGAAAAAUGGUAACCCCAUUUUGAGCUUAAACGAUGAGUAUGACCUAUGAUCAAGUGCUCUCACUUGACUCCUAAGUCAAUAUACUCUAACAUAGGUGACUUUGUCACCGCCCAACUCUAGAUGAAGUUCUCUUGUGUUCUUUUUUGUGUUAUUGCAUUUGUCUUUUGCAUAUUUGUUUCCCCUUUCAAAAAAAUUCAUCUAGAUCUUUUCUUGUCUUUUCUUUUCGUUCUGCAUUUUCUGCAUCCAAUUCAUUGCAAAUCUUUCAGUUAAUUCCUUGCAAAUCCUUGUGAGAUCUUACAUGUCUAGUGAGCUGAGGUGACAAGUGGUUUCACUCUGAUGAACUCGGUCACACCGGUUUGUUCUCUUCGGUCUAACCGAAAUCUUUCGGUGAAACCGGAGCUCACAACUCGGAACCACCGAUUUCAUCACAGGAAAACUAACUUGCCACUUAUUCCUGACUUCUAUUUUGCUCCAGCUCCACUCAAUGAUUCUUGUCCUCUACCAGCAUCAUGUUAUACACGCUGCUUUGCUCUGUGACUCAAGGACCAAACCAUUUGUAUCACAUGUUCAGAAGACCCUUCUUGGAAAUUAAUGUCAAAGGGGGAGAGAGAGAUCACAUCAAAGCUUAAUCCGUCCUAUAGGGGGAGAAAGAGAGAAAGAGAGAAUACUCAGGGGGAGAGAAACUAAUAUCAUCAAUGACCCCAGAUGCUUGGUGUUCAAGAGGAGAGAUGUCACAUGUCUUUAAGAGGGGAAAGACAUGUUUGUUUAUUUUCUAUUGCUCUGAUUUGCUCUGAUUUUCUGUUCCCUAUCUUCUCCCAAUAUCUCAUGUUAGAUUCAGGGGGAGCAAGACAUCUAAGGGAAGGAAAUCUCUGAUUUUAUUGCACAUCUUUAUCUUUGGGGACAUGUCUAUAUCAAAUGUGGUACCUAGUACACACUCUACAUGUCAUCCCAGUCUUGGUUCUCUUGUGGUUUCUCUUGUUUGCUCUAGUUAGUAGGUGUAUUAGUGUUAUCUAACCUUGUUUGCGCAGGUUCAUCCCACCCUAAGCCAAAUCAAGACCACAAGGUAAGUAUAUGCAUCACAGUCAUGUGAAUGAGGAGUUCUUGCUAAUGUACAUACUGUUUGCAAGAAGGACUCAUGAGCAUGAAGGUACAUUUCUCAUAUUCAUAUCAUUUGCUCUGAUGCAUAUAGCCAAGAUACAUGUAACACAUUGCUUACUCUGUCAUGCUUAUGCAUUCACAUGCUCCUAUAUUUCAUAUUCACAUGAUUGCAUACAUGUAGGGGGAGCCUUUGCAUAUUACAUGUCUUUCCAAAGCUUUACUUGCUAUUCUCUAUAUCUUUAACUAAAGCUUUGAUGUAUGUUGUCAUCAAUUACCAAAAAGGGGGAGAUUGAAAGCACAAGUGCUCCCUGGGUGGUUUUGGUAAUUAAUGUCAACAUAUCUCUUGUUGGACUAAAACUUUUACCUAGUAUGUUUCAGAUAAGUUCAACAAUGGAGUGGCAUGGACUAGAGGAUGUGGAACCCCUUCAAGAUGCUAAGGACAAAGGAUUGGCUCAAGCUUCAAGAUCAAGACUCUACAUUUUAUAUUUUAGUGAUCCAAGAUCACAUUGAGUCUAUAGGAAAAGCCAAUACUAUCAAGGAGGGAUGAGGUGUUGUUUAAUGAGCCUCUUGCUUCAUGUGCUUAGUGAUAUGCUCCAAAACCCUCAACUAUCUUCCCACAUCCACAUAUGACCUAAACCAAAAGUCAAACUCGGCCCCACCGAUUCUUUCUAUCCGGCGCCACUGAGUUUCAUGUGUCAUAGCCACUGCCAAACCCUAGCAAAUCGGUUUCACCGAUAGGGAUCUCGGUCUCACCGAGAUGGGAUUGUAAUCACACUGUGUAUGUUCAUUGCCAAAAUCGGUCCCACCGAGUUUGAGCAAUCGGUACUACGGAGAUUACAAUGCAAACUCCCUGGUUAGCUUAUUACCAAAAUCGGUCCCACCGAGUUUGUGUAAUCGGUCUUACCAAGUUUGCCUAACCAACUCUCUGGUUAGCUUAUUACCAAAAUCGGUCCCACCGAGUUUGUGUAAUCGGUCACACCGAGAUUACGUUAUGCCCAAACCCUAACAAUAUCGGUCCUACCGAGUUGCAUCUCAGUCCCACCGAAAAUCCUAACGGUCACUAGGUUUGCUGAAUCGGUCCGACCGAGUUUAACCAUUCGGUCCCACCGAGUUUGGCAGAUUGUGUGUAACGGUUAGAUUUUGUGUGGAGGCUAUAUAUACCCCUCCACCCACUCUUCAUUCGUGGAGAGAGCCAUCAGAACAGAUCUUCACUUCCAAUACACAUUUUCUAAGAGAGAACCACCUACACUUGUGUUGAGCUCAAGAUAUUCCAUUCCUACCAUAUGAAUCUUGAUCUCUAGCCUUCCACAAGUUGCUUUCCACUCAAAUCUUCUUUCCACCAAAUCCAAAUCCUGUGAGAGAAAGUUGAGUGUUGGGGAGACUAUCAUUUGAAGCACAAGAGCAAGGAGUUCAUCAUCAACACACCAUUUGUUACUUCUUGGAGAGUGGUGUCUCCUAGAUUGGCUAGGUGUCACUUGGGAGCCUCCGACAAGAUUGUGGAGUUGAACCAAGGAGUUUGUAAGGGCAAGGAGAUCGCCUACUUUGUGAAGAUCUACCGCUAGUGAGGCAAGUCCUUCGUGGGCGACGGCCAUGAUGGAAUAGACAAGGUUGCUUCUUCAUGGACCCUUCAUGGGUGGAGCCCUCCGUGGACUCGUGCAACCGUUACCCUCCGUGGGUUGAAGUCUCCAUCAACGUGGAUGUAUGAUAGCACCAACUAUUGGAACCACGACAAAAACAUCCAUGUCUCCAAUUGCGUUUGAAUACUCCAAACCCUUCCCUUUACAUUCUUGCAAGUUGCAUGCUUUACUUUCCGCUGCUCAUAUACUCAUUGCAUGCUUGCUAGAUAUGUAUUGUGUGUGUUAAAAUUGUGCUUAAACUCCACCUAAACUUAAGAAUAUUAAAAACUGCAACUUUUGGCACUUAGUGUCUAAUCACCCCCCUCUAGACACCUCUUCUCGAUCCUUUCACCGGUAUAUGCCCGAACUCACACGGAACCGUUCCAAUGUCCAAACAUAGUCAUCCAAUAUAUGAUCUUUAUGUCUCGACCAAUUCGAGACUCCUCGUCAUGUCCGUGAUCAUAUCCGGGACUCCGAACAACCUUCGGUAUAUGAUGAGGACAUCAAUAACAUUGUUACACCCACAGCCCCUACUGUUACAUAUACUGGACCAAUUACUAGAGCUCGCGCACGCCAAUUAAAUUACCAGGUACUUUCGUUUCUUGGUAAUGAUUCUAAUGUUCAUGAGAUUAUGAUGCUGCCUAAAUUGGAUACAUUUGUUUUGCUUACAAAUGAAGGGCCUAGCUUGGAGAAGGAUGAACAUUGGAGCAAGAACACGCAUGGAGUUGAUGGCAUGCGCAAGGGGAUCAAGAACGGAGUUACAAGUGAUGAUUUCAGGACUUUGAAGCCGCCAUAAAUAGUGCAUGAAGCCUUGGACGAAAUAUACAAGAUGCCACUUCAUAAUAUUCGUCCAUAGGCUAUUCUAGGUGCUGCGUCACCUUAUUAAUGGGCCAGACCCAUGUAAUUUCGAAAUACUUAAGUAUAGGCUAUUUUUAGAGUCCGUAUGUGUGGGGAAACAAGAGUUAGGGUUGGUUUCGGACCCCACCCUCAAGGGCCACGAAAUUCCCCCCUCUUCCUCCAUAUAUACAGCCCUUAGGGCGUCGUUUAGACUUUGGGUUUUGUUUAGAUUAAAAGUUCGCCAUAGCUGCAACUUCGCGUACUUCGUUUGUGUCCAACGACCAGACCAAGACGUCACAGAACCCCACCUUGAUCAAUAAAGCUUUCAUCUUAUAUUCGCAAUAUCCCGAUUGCAAUCUCAGUUUCUUGCUUGUUCUUCGUUUGCUCGCAGGAAACAGACCUUCGUGGUCAGGUUGAUCGUGCUCCGGCGUGGUCAAUAACCCUCGGAAGUUGGUUUAGCGAUUGCUAAGGCGCGACGUCUCGCACGUUCGUAGUCGGAUCGUCAAGGUCGACUCCCACAGAAAACGAUAGCCACCAUCUCAUCGAAACAUCGGGACACCUUAGCCUCUAUCAAGUGGUAUCAGAUUUCCAGGUUGCUCGGUGAGAUUUUACAGUUUUUCAUAGAUUAGAUCGAGUCUGUUCUUCAUACCUACAGUCCACGAAAAAGCCAGAAAAAAAUUAGGGUUAGUUCAUCAUAUCCGAACCAAUCUGAGCCUUUGCAUAAUCUUUUUAGGGUUUUUGCUUUGUUGAAUUUGCGGUUGCAUCGUCAUGUCAAGUUGCUAGUCUUAGAGUCUAGUCUUUUAGAGUUUCGAGUUCUGGUCAUAAGUUGUCACGCCGCCACCGCACCAUCAUCAUCGCCCAUCUACCACUUUUGCUUAUCCGCCACCGCUCUGAAUCCAUAUCCAUAUACCACCACCAAUCCGUAUCCAUAUACCACCACCAAUCUGUAUCCAUAUACCACCACCGCUACCAUAUACCACCACCGCUGCGAUAUACCACAACCAUAUAUCCACCACCAAUCCGAGUUCGUCUCAUAUUAGGUUUGUUCUUGAGAUCAAUCUAAAUUCCGUUUCGUGUUUCCUUGCCUGCGUAGGUCUCGGAAAAAAAAGUCUGGAGACCCCCGGGCAGUUUUUAGGCCAAAAAUUUCAUGGGCAAUUUUUUUCCCUAUCCUAUUUUUAGGCUUUUCUAAGUCUUUUGAGCCACGUGCCAUCAUAGUGAUUUUUUGUCGCACUUUUUCGUCGUCGCUGCCGUGAUUUCCGAAAAAAGUGAAAAAAAAAUUCAUGCCCAUCCUAUCACUUUGACGAGGGAAGAGUUUUGAGACACUCGCCAUUAUAGUGAUUUUUCGCAAAAAAAAAGAGGAGCGCAAAAAAAAGGAGCGAAAAAGAAAGAGCGAAAAAAAAGAGUUCCAGAGUGUGCUUUUCCCUUAUUUACGUGCAGCACCGUGAUUUUGUUAGUGUUCUAGGCUCGCGUCUCUAGCACGGUCUAGUCUAGGACCAGCACAGUACCGUCGUUGAGCGUUUAUUCAACUUUGCAUCUCUGAAAUGAUUAUUGCUGACCCUUUUUGCUACCAUACUAUAAGCCUUUGAGAGUUUUGAGAGUUUUGACUCUCCCUGGCAAUCGCUGUAUCCAAGCUUUUGAGAGUUUUGACUACAACGGUUGCCGAUCACCGCCUGCUGCUGGGUAAGAACUGGUACGAAUUUGAGAUUUGCUUGACGGAUUUGUGACACCCGCCACCACCACCACUUGUUAGUAGUCUGUAGGAUCAUAUUCUUGUGUGUUUCUAUUGCUGCUAACCAUGCCAGGAUCACAAGCCGACGAGACUGACUGGGAGAACUUGACGAACAAGGAGCUUCAUGAUACGUUUCAGCAAAUGAUGAGUGGACAGGUGCACGAUGUGAUAAACAGAUUUGAAGAGGCCAUGGAGAAGAUAGAUGGCAUGGAGAAGACGUUUGAAACAAAGCUCGAUAACAAGUUUGCUGAAUUGCUUUCGUGUUUUCCACCACCACCACCGGCUGCUCCUGCCGCACCUCUGCAACAACAGCAACAACAUCGACUACCUCCACGUCGGGAAACAGCCCUCCGCCGAGCGAGCCGUGUCCCUCUUCAGUCGGGCCAAACUGCUGGUGCUGCUGUUGAUACUUCUGUGGCUCCUACUGCUGAUGUGGAGGAGGAUGAUUCUGUGGGAGAUUAUGAGGAUGAGGUUGAUCACAAUCAGAACUACGUGCCACCACUAGCACAACAACCACCAGGUCGUCCACAUGCAAAUAAUGGCAAUGGUAGGGCUCACCCUCAGGUACGAGAUCAUGACCAUCUCCCUAAACUAAAAUUGAAUAUUCCACCAUUUGAGGGUAGAUAUGUUCCUGAUAUAUAUCUUACUUGGGAGUUAGAAAUUGAACAACGAUUUACAUGUUUACAAUAUCCCGAGGAGAGACGUGUUCCUGCUGCUGUUUGUGCAUUCACUAGUUUUGCAUGUGUUUGGUGGUCUGAGCAUUGUAGAUUAUAUCCUAUUCCGGCUACUUGGGCUGCUUUGAAAACUGCUAUGCGUACUCGUUGGGUUCCACCAUAUUAUCAACGUGAAUUACUUCAAAAAUUGGAGCGCUUAAGACAUGGGAAAAAUUCUGUAGAAGAAUAUUAUCAGGAAUUACAAACUGGCAUGAUUAGAUGUGGUAUUGUUGAGGAGAAUGAAGCUAUGCUUGCACGUUUUAUGGGUGGAUUAAAUAGAGAGAUUCAGACGAUUCUAGAGUAUAAGGAGUAUACUAAUAUCACUCGUUUAUUCCAUCUUGCUUGUAAAGCUGAACGUGAAGUGCAGGAUCGACAGGCAUUGGCGCGGACUAACUUUUGUGCAGGUCGACCUUCAUCAUGGACACCACGUGCAUCAUCUACUUCCACACAUUCUGCUACACCGGCUCCUCCGUCGGCUGCCACCUCCAACUGUGAUACAAUAAAGCAGGCACAAUCACCACUAUCUGCCAAGAGCACACCUUCUGGGCAUGCAAAGAGCUCUUCUUCAUCCAUGGCAUCAACAGGGCAAACACAUGAUAUUAUUUGUCGACGUUGCAAGGGUGGAGGUCAUUAUGCAAGAGAAUGCCCAUCUAAGCGUGUGAUGAUUGUUACUGAGGAUGGUGGGUAUGAGUCCGCUAGUGACUAUGAUGAGGAGACCUUGGCUCUUAUUACACGUGAAGAACAUGGUGGAGACGAUUCUGAUCAUGAGACGCAAUACAUGGCUCCUGAAGAUGCUGACAGGUAUGAAUGUUUAGUUGCUCAACGUGUUUUGAGUGUGCAGGUUACACAAGCUGAGCAAAAUCAGAGGCAUAAUUUGUUCCAUACAAAGGGAGUUGUGAAGGAACGUUCUGUUCGCGUGAUCAUAGAUGGAGGGAGCUGCAAUAACUUGGCUAGCAUGGAGAUGGUGGAGAAGCUAUCUCUCACCACAAGACCACAUCCACAUCCUUACUACAUCCAAUGGUUCAGCAACAGCGGCAAGGUUAAGGUAACACGUACUGUUCGUGUGCAUUUUAGUAUCUCUACAUAUGCUGAUUAUGUUGAUUGUGAUGUGGUACCUAUGCAAGCAUGUUCCUUAUUACUUGGUAGACCAUGGCAAUUUGAUAAAAAUUCUGUACACCAUGGUAGAAACAAUCAGUAUACUCUUGUUCAUAAUGAUAAGAAUAUUACUUUGCUUCCUAUGACUCCUGAUUCCAUUUUGAAAGAUGAUAUUAAUAGAGCUAAUAAAGCAAAACAGGAGACAAAUAAGAGUGAAAAUCAGAUUGUGGCAAAAGAAUUUGAGCACCAAAUGAAGCCUAAUAAUAAACCAUCUACUGUUGUUUCUGAAAUUAAAUUGAAAAGUGCAUGUUUACUUGCCACCAAAUCUGAUAUUGAUGAGCUAGAUUUUAGCAAAUCUGUUUGCUAUGCUUUUGUGUGCAAAGAGGCAUUAUUUUCAUUCGAGGACGUGCCUUCCUCUUUACCCCCUGCUGUCACUAACAUUUUGCAGGAGUUCGCUGACGUCUUUCCACAAGACGUGCCACCGGGAUUACCACCUAUUCGAGGGAUUGAGCAUCAAAUUGACUUAAUUCCCGGUGCUUCGCUACCCAACCGUGCACCAUACCGUACCAAUCCAGAGGAGACGAAGGAGAUUAUGCGUCAAGUACAAGAACUGCUCGACAAAGGUUAUAUACGCGAAUCCCUUAGUCCUUGUGAUGUUCCUAUCAUUUUAGUGCCGAAAAAGGAUGGCACAUCACGUAUGUGCGUUGAUUGUAGAGGCAUUAAUAAUAUUACUAUUCGUUAUCGUCAUCCUAUUCCUAGGCUAGAUGAUAUGCUUGAUGAAUUGAGUGGCUCUACAAUAUUCUCCAAAGUUGAUUUGCGUAGUGGAUACCAUCAAAUUCGUAUGAAAUUGGGUGAUGAAUAGAAAACAACAUUUAAAACUAAGUUUGGAUUAUAUGAGUGGUUAGUCAUGCCUUUUGGGUUAACUAAUGCACCUAGUACUUUCAUGAGGUUAAUGAACGAAGUUUUACGUGCUUUCAUUGGACGAUUUGUGGUAGUUUACUUUGAUGACAUAUUGAUUUAUAGCAAAUCUUUGGAGGAACAUUUGGAACAUUUACGUGUUGUUUUUAUUGCUCUACGUGAUGCACGUUUGUUUGGAAACCUUGGAAAGUGCACCUUUUGCACCGACCGAGUAUCUUUUCUUGGCUAUGUUGUUACUCCACAGGGAAUUGAAGUUGAUAAAGCCAAAAUUGAAGCUAUUGAGAGUUGGCCGCAGCCCAAAACGGUCACACAAGUGAGGAGUUUCCUUGGCCUCGCUGGUUUCUAUAGGCGUUUUGUGAGAGAUUUCGGCACCAUUGCUGCACCUCUCAACGAGCUUACAAAGAAGGAUGUGCCUUUUGUUUGAGGUACUGCACAGGAAGAAGCUUUCACGGUAUUUAAAUAUAAGUUGACACAUGCUCCUUUACUCCAACUUCCUAAUUUCAAUAAGACUUUUGAGCUUGAAUGUCAUGCUAGUUGAAUUGCAUUAGGAGGUGUGUUAUUACAAGAUGGAAAACCUGUUGCAUACUUUUCUGAAAAAUUGAGUGGGCCUAGUCUGAACUAUUCUACUUAUGAUAAAGAAUUAUAUGCUCUUGUUCGGACCUUAGAAACAUGGCAACAUUAUUUAUGGCCCAAGGAAUUUGUUAUACAUUCUGAUCAUGAAUCUUUGGAACACAUUAAAAGUCAAGCAAAACUGAACCGUAGACAUGCUAAAUGGGUUGAAUUCAUUGAGACUUUCCCUUAUGUCAUUAAACACAAGAAGGGUAAAGAAAAUGUUAUUGCUGAUGCCUUGUCUCGUCGUUAUACUAUGCUUUCACAACUUGACUUUAAAAUAUUUGGUUUGGAGACCAUCAAAGAUCAAUAUGUUCAUGAUGCUGAAUUUAAAGAUAUAUUGCAGAAUUGUAAGGAAGGGAGAACUUGGAACAAGUUCGUUCUUAAUGAUGGAUUUGUGUUUCAUGCUAACAAGCUAUGCAUUCCAGCUAGCUCCGUUCGUCUUUUGUUGUUGCAGGAGGCGCAUGGAGGAGGAUAAAUGGGACACUUUGGCGUCAAGAAGACGGAGGAUAUACUUGCUACACAUUUCUUUUGGCCAAAGAUGAGACGGGAUGUUGAGCAUUUUGUUGCUCGCUGCACUACAUGUCAAAGAGCUAAGUCACGACUCAAUCCUCAUGGUUUAUAUAUGCCUUUGCCCGUACCUAGUGUUCCUUGGGAGGAUAUAUCUAUGGACUUUGUUUUAGGUUUACCUCGAACAAAGAAGGGGAGGGAUAGCAUAUUUGUUGUCAUGGAUAGGUUCUCGAAAAUGGCACACUUUAUACCAUGUCAUAAAAGCGAUGAUGCUGUUAAUGUUGCUGAUUUGUUCUUUCGUGAAAUUAUUCGCUUACAUGGUGUGCCAAAUACUAUUGUUUCAGAUCGUGAUACUAAAUUUCUUAGCCACUUUUGGAGAUGUUUAUGGGCUAAGUUGGGGACUAAGCUGCUUUUUAGUACUACUUGUCACCCCAAACUGAUGGACAAACUGAAGUAGUCAAUAGAACAUUGUCUACUAUGCUUAGGGCUGUUUUGAAGAAUAACAAGAAAAUGUGGGAAGAAUGCUUGCCUCAUAUUGAAUUUGCUUAUAAUCGUUCAUUGCAUUCUACUACUAAGAUGUGCCCUUUUGAAAUUGUGUAUGGUUUCCUACCUCGUGCACCUAUUGAUUUGUUGCCUCUUCCAUCUUCAGAGAAGGUUAAUUUUGAUGCUAAAGAAUGUUCUGAAUUGAUUUUAAAAAUGCAUGAGUUAACUAAGGAAAGCAUUGAGCGUAUGAAUGCUAAAUAUAAACUUGCUGGAGAUAAGGGUAGAAAACAUGUUGAGUUUGCGCCUGGAGAUCUUUUUUGGUUACAUUUGCGUAAAGAUAGAUUUCCUAAUCUGCGCAAAUCAAAGCUAAUGCCACGUGUUGAUGGUCCUUUUAAGGUGGUAGAGAAAAUAAAUGAUAAUGCAUAUAAACUUGAGCUACCUGUAGAUUUUGGGGUUAGUCCCACUUUUAACAUUGCAGAUUUGAAGCCUUAUUUGGGUGAGGAAGAUGCGCUUCCAUCGAGGAUGACUUCAUUUCAAGAAGGGGAGGAUGAUGAGGACAUCAAUACCAUUGUUACACCCACAGCCCCUACUGUUACAUAUACUGGACCAAUUACUAGAGCUCGCGCACGCCAAUUAAAUUACCAGGUACUUUCGUUUCUUGGUAAUGAUUCUAAUGUUCAUGAGAUUAUGAUGCUGCCUAAAUUGGAUACAUUUGUUUUGCUUACAAAUGAAGGGCCUAUCUUGGAGAAGGAUGAACAUUGGAGCAAGAACACGCAUGGAGUUGAUGGCAUGCGCAAGGGGAUCAAGAACGGAGUUACAAGUGAUGAUUUCAGGACUUUGAAGCCACCAUAAGGAGUGCAUGAAGCCUUGGACGAAAUAUACAAGAUGCCACUUCAUAAUAUUCGUCCAUAGGCUAUUCUAGGUGCUGUGUCACCUUAUUAAUGGGCCAGGCCCAUGUAAUUUGAAAAUACUUAAGUAUAGGCUAUUUUUAGAGUCCGUAUGUGUGGGGAAACAAGAGUUAUGGUUGGUUUCGGACCCCACCCUCAAGGGCCACGAAAUUCCCCCCUCUUCCUCCAUAUAUACAGCCCUUAGGGCUUCGUUUAGACUUUGGGUUUUGUUUAGAUUAAAAGUUCGCCAUAGCUGCAAUUUCGUGUACUUCAUUUGUGCCCAACGACCAGACCAAGACGUCACAGAACCCCACCUUGAUCAAUAAAGCUUUCAUCUUAUAUUCGCAAUAUCCCGAUUGCAAUCUCAGUUUCUUGCUUGUUCUUCGUUUGCUCGCAGGAAACAGACCCUCGUGGUCAGGUUGAUCGUGCUCCGGCGUGGUCAAUAACCCUUGGAAGUUGGUUUAGUGAUUGCUAAGGCGCGACGUCUCGCACGUUCGUAGUCGUAUCUUCAAGGCCGACUCCCAUAGAAAACGAUAGCCACCAUCUCAUCGAAACAUCGGGACACCUUAGCCUCUAUCAGUAUAUCAAAACACAUAAACUCAUAAUACCGAUCAUCAUCGAAUCUUAAGCGUGUAGACCCUACGGGUUCGAGAACUAUGUAGACAUGACCGAGACUCAUCUCCGGUCAAUAACCAAUAGCGGAACCUGGAUGCUCAUAUUGGUCCCUACAUAUUCUACGAAGAUCUUUAUCGUUCAAACCGCAUAACAACAUAUGUUGUUCCCUUUGUCAUCGGUAUGUUACUUGCCCGAGAUUCGAUCGUCGAUAUCUCAAUACCUAGUUCAAUCUCGUUACCGGCAAGUCUCUUUACUCGUUCCGUAAUGCAUCAUCCCGUGACUAACUCAUUAGUCACAUUGCUUGCAAGGCUUAUAGUGAUGUGCAUUAUCGAGAUGGCCCAGAGAUACCUCUCUGAUACUCGGAGUGACAAAUCCUAAUCUCGAUCUAUGCCAACUCAACAAACACCAUCGGAGACACCUGUAGAGCAUCUUUAUAAUCACCCAGUUACGUUGUGACAUUCGAUAGCACACUAAGUGUUCCUCUGGUAUUCGGGAGUUGCAUAAUCUCAUAGUCAUAGGAACAUGUAUAAGUUAUGAAGAAAGCAAUAGCAACAAACUAAACGAUCAUCGUGCUAAGCUAACAGAUGGGUCAAGUCAAUCACAUCAUUCUCUAAUGAUGUAAUCUUAUUUACCAAAUGACAACUCUUUUUCCAUGGCUAGGAAACUUAACCAUCUUUGAUUAACGAGCUAGUCAAGUAGAGGCUUACUAGUGACAGUCAGUUUGUUUAUGUAUUCACACAUGUACUAAGUUUCCGGUUAAUUCAAUUCUAGCAUGAAUCAUAAACAUUUAUCAUGAUAUAAGGAAAUAUAAAUAACAACUUUAUUAUUGCCUCUAGGGCGUAUUUGCUUCAAAACUCUCGCAUGGCCUUGUGGCUAGGCAAUAGUGGUAGACGAGGACGUGGUGGCGCACGCACAUCUGAGCGACGGCGACCUUGGGACGAGACCCGGCACGAGCGCGGUUGUACUCGAGGUCAAACCCGACCACCUUGUACUUCUCCUCGGCAAGCAACAGCUCCAUGAUGUGGACGGAGUGCUCCACCCAGACCGGGUCAUUGGUGUACACCACCAAGAGGUCCAUGAACCUUCUAUGGGUGUCCACCACGGCACACAUGGUGAACUGCUGCUCGUCGUCGGCAGCCGCUCAGAGUGCCGUUAGAGCCGCGCAGGAUACCCUCUAAGAAUUUCUCGUGGUGGGUGUGCUUCUUGCAAUGGUGGGGCGCGAUCGAAAGGUUGAUGAGACACAAGGGUAGGUUAAAUGGCCGAUGUAAUAAAUGGGGGCCGACCGGCCUAUAAUCGUCACGUCUUGUCAUGCCGUUCAUAGCAGAGGAUUCCAGAUGAUAGAGGCGGAGGUGUCCCGUCUUUCGAUGAGAUGAUGGAUUUUCGCUUUGGUGGAAGUCGACUUUGACGAUCCGACUACGAACGUGCGAGGACGUCGCGCCUUAGCAAUCGCUAAACCAACUCCGAGAGGUUAUUGACCACGCCGGAGCAUGAUCAACCUGACCACGAGGGUCUGAUUCCUGCGAGCAAACAAAGAACAAGCAAGAAUCUGAGAUUGCAAUCUGGAUAUUGCGAAUAUAAGAUGAAAGCUUUAUUGAUCAAGGUGGGGUUCUGUGACGCCUUUGUCUGGUCGUUGAACACAAACAAAGUACGCGAAGUUGCAGCUAUGGCGAACUUUAAUCUAAACAAAAACCACAGUCUAAACGGUGCCCUAAGGGCUGUAUAUAUGGAGGAAGAGAGGGGGAAUUUCGUGGCCCUUGGUGGAGGGGUCCGCAAUCAACCCUAUCUCUUGUUUCUCCACACAUACAGACUCUAGAAAUAGCCUAUACUUAUGUAUUUCGAAAUUACAUGGGCCUGGCCCAAUAAAAAGGUGACGCAGCACCUAUAAUAGCCUCUGGACGAAAUUUAUGAAGUGACAUCUUGUAUAUUUCGUCCAAGGCUUCAUGCACUCGUUAUGGUGGCUUCAAAGACCUGAAAUCAUCACUUGUAACUCUGUUCUUGUUCCCUUGCGCAUGCCAUCAUCUCCAUGCUUGUUCUUGCUCCAAUGUUCAUCCUUCUCCAAGCUAGGCCCUUCAUUUGUAAGCAAAACAAAUGUAUCCAAUUUAGGCAGCAUCAUAUUCUCAUGAACGUUAGAAUCAUUACCAAGAAACGAAAGUACCUGGUAAUUUAGUUGGCGUGCGCGAGCUCUAGUAAUUGGUCCAGUAUGUAUAGCAGCAGGGGCUGUGGGUGUAACAAUGGUAUUGAUGUCCUCAUCAUCCUCCCCUUCUUGAAAUGAAGUCGUCCUCGACGGAAGCUCAUCUUCCUCACCCAAAUAAGGCUUCAAAUCUGCAAUGUUAAAAGUGGGACUAACCCCAAAAUCUGCAGGCAGCUCAAGUUUAUAUGCAUUAUCAUUUAUUUUCUCUAACACCUUAAAGGGACCAUCAGCCCGUGGCAUGAGCUUUGAUUUGCGCAAAUCAGGAAAUCUAUCCUUACGCAAAUGUAACCAAACAAGAUCUCCAGGUGCAAACACAACAUGUUUUCUACCCUUAUCUCCAGCAAGUUUAUAUUUGGCAUUCAUACGCUCAAUGUUUUCCUUAGUUAACUCAUGCAUUUUUAAAAUCAAUUCAGCACGUUGUUUAGCAUCAAAAUUAACCUUCUCCGAAGAUGGAAGAGGCAACAAAUCAAUAGGUGCACGAGGUAGGAAACCAUACACAACUUCACAAGGGCACAUCUUAGUAGUAGAAUGCAAUGAACGAUUAUAAGCAAAUUCAAUAUGAGGCAAGCAUUCCUCCCACAUUUUCUUAUUACUCUUCAAAACAGCCCUAAGCAUAGUAGACAAUGUUCUAUUGACUACUUCAUUUUGGCCAUCAGUUUGGGGGUGACAAGUAGUACUAAAAAGCAGUUUAGUCCCCAACUUAGCCCAUAAACAUCUCCAAAAGUGGAUAAGAAAUUUAGUAUCACAAUCUGAAACAAUAGUAUUUGGCACACCAUGCAAGCGAAUAAUUUCACGAAAGAACAAAUCAGCAACAUUAACAGCAUCAUCGCUUUUAUGACAUGGUAUAAAGUGUGCCAUUUUCGAGAAUCUAUCCACGACAACAAAUAUGCUAUCCCUCCCCUUCUUUGUUCGAGGUAAACCUAAAACAAAGUCCAUAGAUAUAUCCUCCCAAGGAACACUAGGUACAGGCAAAGGCAUAUAUAAACCAUGAGGAUUGAGUCGUGACUUAGCUUUUUGACAUGUAGUGCAGCGAGCAAUAAAACACUGAACAUCCAGUCUCAUCUUUGGCCAAAAGAAAUGUGUAGCAAGUACGUCCUCCGUCUUCUGCAUGCCAAAGUGUCCCAUUAAUCCUCCUCCAUGCGCCUCCUGCAACAACAAAAGACGAACGGAGCUAGCUGGAAUGCAUAGCUUGUUAGCAUGAAACACAAAUCCAUCGUUAACGACAAACUUGUUCCACAUUCUUCCUUCUUUACAAUUCUGCAUUACAUCUUUAAAAUCAGCAUCAUGCACAUAUUGAUCUUUGAUGGUCUCCAAACCAAAUAUUUUGAAGUCAAGUUGUGAAAGCAUAGUAUAGCGACGAGACAAUGCAUCAGCAAUAACAUUUUCUUUUCCCUUCUUGUGUUUAAUGACAUAAGGGAAAGUCUCAAUGAAUUCAACCCAUUUAGCAUGUCUACGAUUCAGUUUAGCUUGACUUUUAAUAUGUUUCAAAGAUUCAUGAUCAGAAUGUAUAACAAAUUCUUUGGGCCAUAAAUAAUGUUGCCAUGUUUCUAAAGUCCGAACAAGAGCAUAUAAUUCUUUAUCAUAAGUAGAAUAAUUUAGACUAGGCCCACUCAAUUUUUCAGAAAAGUAUGCAACAGGUUUGCCAUCUUGUAAUAACACACCUCCUAAUCCAAUUCCACUAGCAUCACAUUCAAGCUCAAAAGUCUUAUUAAAAUCAGGAAGUUGGAGUAAAGGAGCAUGUGUCAACUUAUUUUCAAUACCGAGAAGGCUUCUUCCUGUGCGGUACCCCAAAGAAAAGGCACAUCUUUCUUUGUAAGCUCAUUGAGAGGUGCAGCAAUGGUGCUGAAAUCUCUGACAAAACGCCUAUAGAAUCCAACGAGGCCAAGAAAACUCCUCACUUGGGUGACCGUUUUGGGCUGCGGCCAACUCUCAAUAGCUUCAAUCUUGGCUUUAUCAACUUCAAUUCCCUGUGGAGUAACAACAUAGCCAAGAAAAGAUACUCGGUCGGUGCAAAAGGUGCACUUCCCAAGGUUACCAAACAAACGUGCAUCACAUAGAGCAAUAAAAACAACACGUAAAUGUUCCAAAUGUUCUUCCAAAGAUCUGCUAUAAAUCAGUAUAUCAUCAAAAUAGACUACCACAAAUCGUCCAAUGAAAGCACGUAAAACUUUGUUCAUUAGUCUCAUGAAAGUACUAGGCGCAUUAGUUAACCCAAAAUGCAUGACUAACCACUCAUAUAAUCCAAACUUAGUUUUAAAUGUUGUUUUACAUUCAUCCCCCAAUUUCAUACGAAUUUGAUGGUAUCCACUACGCAAAUCAACUUUGGAGAAUAUUGUAGAGCCACUCAAUUCAUCAAGCAUAUCAUCUAGCCUAGGAAUAGGAUGACGAUAACGAAUAGUAAUAUUAUUAAUGCCUCUACAAUCAACACACAUACGCGAUGUACCAUCCUUUUUCGGCACUAGAAUAAUAGGAACAGCACAAGGACUAAGGGAUUCGCGUAUAUAACCUUUGUCGAGAAGCUCUUGUACUUGACGCAUAAUCUCCUUCGUCUCCUCUGGAUUGGUACGGUAUGGCGCACGGUAUGGCAGUGAAGCACCGGGAAUUAAGUCGAUCUGAUGCUCAAUCCCUCGAAUAGGUGGUAAUCCCGGUGGCACGUCUUGUGGAAAGACGUCAGUGAACUCCUGCAAAAUGUUAGUGAUAGCAGGAGGCAAAGAGGAAGGCACGUCCUCGAAUGAAAAUAAUGCCUCUUUGCACACAAAAGCAUAGCAAACAGAUUUGCUGAAAUCUAGCUCAUCAAUAUCAGAUUUGGUGGCAAAUAAACAUGCACUUUUCAAUUUAAUUUCAGAAGCAACACUAUUUAUUAUUAGGCUGCAUUUGUUGCUCAAAUUCUUUUGCCACAAUCUGAUUUUCACUCUUAUUCUUCUCCUGUUUUGCUUUAUUAGCUCUAUUAAUAUCAUCUUUCAAAAUGGAAUCAGGAGUCAUAGGAAGCAAAGUAAUUUUUUUAUCCUUAUGAACAAGAGUAUAGUGAUUGUUUCUACCAUGGUGUACAGAAUUUUUAUCAAAUUGCCAUGGUCUACCAAGUAAUAAGGAACAUGCUUGCAUAGGUACCACAUCACAAUCAACAUAAUCAGCAUAUGUAGAGAUACUAAAAUGCACACGAACAGUACGUGUUACCUUAACCUUGCCGCUGUUGUUGAACCAUUGGAUGUAGUAAGGAUGUGGAUGUGGUCUUGUGGUGAGAGAAAGCUUCUCCACCAUCUCCAUGCUAGCCAAGUUGUUGCAGCUCCCUCCGUCUAUGAUGACGCGCACAGAACGUUCCUUCACAACUCCCUUGGUAUGGAACAAAUUGUGCCUCUGAUUUUGCUCAGCUUGUGUGACCUGCAGACUCAAAACACGUUGAGCAACUAAACAUUCAUACAUGUCAGCGUCUUCAGGAGCCAUGUAUUGCGUCUCGUGAUCAGAAUCAUCUCCACCAUGUUCUUCACGUGUAAUAAGAGCCAAAGUCUCCUCAUCAUAGUCACUAGCGGACUCAUAUCCACCAUCCGCGGUAGCAAUCAUCACACGCGGAGAUUUGCAUUCUCUCGCAUAAUGACCUCCUCCCUUACAACGACGACAAAUAAUAUCACUUGUGUGCCCUGUUGAUGCUAUGGAAGAAGAAGAACGUUGUGUAGGCCCCGCAGGUGCGCUCUUGGCAGAUAAUGGUGGUUGUGCCUAUUUUCUUGUAUCACGGCUGGAGGUGGCACCUGAUGUAGGUGCUGGUGCAGUUGAAGUAGAAGAUGCACGUGGUGUCCAUGAUGAAGGUCGUCCUGCAGAAAAGUUAGUUCGCCCCAAUGCUUGUCGAUCCUGCACUUCACGUUCAGCUUUACAAGCAAGAUGGAAUAAACGAGUGAUAUUAGUAUACUCCUUAUAGUCUAGAAUGGUCUGAAUCUCUCUAUUUAAUCCACCCAGAAAACGUGCAAGCAUAGCUUCAUUCUCCUCAACAAUACCACAUCUAAUCAUGCCAGUUUGUAAUUCCUGAUAAUAUUCUACUACAAAAUUUUUCCCUUGUCUUAAAUGCUGCAAUUUUUGAAGCAAUUCACGUUGAUAAUAUGGUGGAACCCAACGCGUACACAUAGCAGUUUUCAAAGCAGCCCAAGUAGUUGGAAUAGGAUAUAAUCUACAAUGUUCAGACCACCAUACACAUGCAAAACUAGUGAAAGCACAAACAGCAGCAGCAACUCGUCUCUCCUCAGGAUAUUGUAAACAUGUAAAUCGUUGUUCAGUUUCUAACUCCCAAGUAAGAUAUAUAUCAGGAACAUAUCUACCCUCAAAUGGUGGGAUAUUCAAUUUCAGUUUAGGAAUAUGGACAUCAUCUCGUACCUGAGGUGGUGGUGCAGGCCAACCAUUACGAAUAUAUACCUGAGGUCGACCUGCUGGUGGUGGUGCAGGUGACUGCACGUAGUGCUGAUUUUGAUAAACCUCAUCCUCAUAAUCUCCCACAUAAUCAUCCUCCUCCGCAUCAGCAGCAGGAGCCACAGAAGUAUCAACAGCAGCACCAACAGUUUGGCCAAACGCAAGAGGAACACGGCUCGCUCGGCGAAGGUCUGUUUCGCGACGUGGAGGUAGUCGUUGUUGUUGUUGUUGGAGAGGUGCGUUAGGUGCAGCGGGUGGUGGUGGUGGAAGACGCGCGAGCAAUUCAUUAAACUUGUUAUCGAGCUUUGUUUCGAACGUCUUCUCCAUGCCAUCUAUCUUCUCCAUGGCCUCUUCAAAUCUGUUUAGCACAUCUUGCACCUGUCCACUCAUCAUUUGCUGAAAUUUAUCAUGCAAAUCCUUGUUCGUCAAGUUCUCCCAGUCAGUCUCGUCGGCUUGUGAUCCUGGCAUGGUUAGCAGCAAUAGAAACACACAAGAAUAUGAUCCUACAGACUACUAACAAGAGGUGGUGGCGGGUGUCACAAAUCCGUCAAGCAAAUCUCAAAUUCUUACCAGUUCUUACCCAGCAGCAGGCGGUGAUCGACAACCGUUGUAGUCAAAAACUCUCAAAGCUUGGAUAGAGCGAUUACUAGGGAGAGUCAAAUGCACGACGUAGAUGUAUGUGGAGCUGGGAAGGCUUAUAAUAUGGUAGCAAAAAGGGUCAGCAAUAAUCAAUUCAGAGAUGCAAAGUUGAAUAAACGCUCAACGACGGUACUGUGCUGGUCCUAGGCUAGACUGUGCUAGAGACGCGAGCCUAGAACACCAACAAAAUCACGGCGCGGCACGUAAACAAGGGAAAAAGCACACUCUGGAUUUUUUUUCGCUCCUUUUUUUUGCGCUGUUUUUUUUGCGCUGCUUUUUUUCCGAAAAAUCACUAUAAUGGCGAGUGUCUCAAAACUCUUCCUAUGUCAAACUGACAGGAUGGGCACGAAAUUUUUUCGACCAAUUUUUUUUUCGACUGCCCGGACCCAAAAACUGGAAACGCGUCAAAAAAAACUUCCUAUAAUGGCACCUGUCUCAAAACACUCAGAAACACCUAAAAAUAGGAUAGCCAGAAAUUUUUUCGACAAAUGCGUUUUCGAAAAAUUUUGGGCCUAAACGGAGGGUGGUUUCCGGACUCUUUUUUUUCCAAAACCUACUCCGGCAAGGAAACACGAAUCGGAAUCUCGAAAACAAACCUAAUAUGACAAGAACUCGGAUUGGUGGUGGAUAUAUGGUGGUAAAUGGCAGCGGUGGUAGUAUAUGACAGCGGUGGUGUUAUAUGGAUACGGAUUCGAAGCGGUGGCGGAUAAGCGGUGGUGGUAUAUGGAUACGGAUUCGAAGCGGUGGCGGAUAAGCGGUGGUGGUAGAUGGCAGGGGCGAUGAUGAUGGUGCGGCGGCGGCGUGACAACUUAUGACCAGAACUCGAAACUCUAAAAGACUAGACUCUAAGACCAGCAACUAGACACGACGAUGCAACCGCAAAUUCAACAA